AUUGGGCAGGUGAUGAAAUCUUGUAUUGUUAAUGGGUAAUUUGCGUCUGAAUUAUUUCAUUGAUGCUAUGCAACCUUUGAGACCUGAUGCCUGUA
Molecule: small nucleolar RNA, 95 nt
Organism: Hevea brasiliensis (rubber tree)
Lineage: Eukaryota; Viridiplantae; Streptophyta; Magnoliopsida; Malpighiales; Euphorbiaceae
Source: RefSeq, a predicted model, not a curated record